UACGUAGGGAGCAAGCGUUGUCCGGAAUCAUUGGGCGUAAAGCGCUCGUAGGUGGCUUCGUAAGUCCGUUGUGAAAGUCAAAGGCUCAACCUUUGAAAGCCGAUGGAUACUGCGGAGCUAGAGUACGGAAGAGGCGAGUGGAAUUCCUGGUGUAGCGGUGGAAUGCGCAGAUAUCGGGAGGAACACCAAUGGCGAAGGCAGCUCGCUGGGACGUGACUGACGCUGAGACGCGAAAGCGUGGGGAGCAAACAGG
RNAcentral lists this ribosomal RNA (253 nucleotides) under uncultured bacterium. RNAcentral's name for it is "partial 16S ribosomal RNA". It matches the Rfam family "Bacterial small subunit ribosomal RNA", at positions 524 to 776 of the family's 1533-position model. The record is from RNAcentral.